CGCGUAGGCGGCCCGGCAGGCCGGGGGUCGAAGCGGGGGGCUCAACCCCCCGAAGCCCCCGGAACCUCCGCGGCUUGGGUCCGGUAGGGGAGGGUGGAACACCCGGUGUAGCGGUGGAAUGCGCAGAUAUCGGGUGGAACACCGGUGGCGAAGGCGGCCCUCUGGGCCGAGACCGACGCUGAGGCUCGAAAGCUGGGGGAGCGAACA
RNAcentral lists this ribosomal RNA (207 nucleotides) under uncultured bacterium. RNAcentral describes it as "partial 16S ribosomal RNA". It matches the Rfam family "Bacterial small subunit ribosomal RNA", at positions 568 to 774 of the family's 1533-position model. The record is from RNAcentral.